Choloepus didactylus (southern two-toed sloth) is the source of this 989-nucleotide long non-coding RNA. RefSeq lists it as uncharacterized. NCBI's taxonomy places the organism in Eukaryota, Metazoa, Chordata, Mammalia, Pilosa, Megalonychidae. The record is from RefSeq and is a predicted model, not a curated record. The transcript has 4 exons.
UGGAGAAUUCCUCACCCUGUGAGUCUUGGUAGGAGGCAGAGCUGGAUUCCAGCAGUGGAAGCUGAAAUGCUGUAAACUCACUUCUGUAUCUUCCCUUGCAGUUGGGCUGAGGAAACAGGAAAAAUACUCCACCACUUUGAGCUUCGACUGCUUUCUGUGAAAGUGUUGCUUGGAAAUUUGUGUGCAAUUGCAACAACCAGGAGAAAGCCACCAAGGAAGACGGGGUUCUUCCAUCCGCUGGCUGAUUCACAGCAGAACCGCUCCGGAGGAUGCAUGAGGAUACUCUCCUCUCUGUGGUGACCUCAACGAGAGCUUCUCCCCACUGCCACAGUUUAUUGGGCCAGAAUGAGCACCUCAACCUGCUCUGUGUGAACUCCAGGAGCAGAGAAGACAUCCAGGGACAAGAAUGAGGGCAGUGGAAAUACCAUAACACUUUUUUCAGGUACAGUUACAUCCUAUUCUUGCAUUGUUCCAUGAGGCACCUUGAUCUUUAUUGUAAAUUUCCUCUUUUUACUUGAAUUUAAUAAAUAUUCUAUGCUGGUGAGGUUGUAGCAAGUUAUAUUCAUACAGAGUUGGUGGUGUUGCAAAUUGUCAUGAAAUUUUCUAGAAAAUAUUUUGCAACAUGUAUUAAGAAUAUUAAAAAUAUUCAUACUAGUUGUGUCAUUUCUGGGAACAUACUGUGAAGAAUGUAUCAAACUCAUGUACUUGGAUGUUCAUCAUGGUGCAAUUUAUGACACCAAAAAAAUCACAAAAAAUCUAAAUGCUCCAAAAUAGGGAACUAGCUAACAAUAUCAGGGUGUGUCAAUAUUUUGUAAUAUUAUGCAAUUCUUAGAAUGGUUUAGAAAAUAUUUAAUGGUGCAGAACAUGACUAUGCCAUAAGAUUAAGUGAAAAAUCUGUAUACAAAAGCACUAUAUAUUAUGACUCCAAUAUCAUGAUUUAUAUAUUUACAUGUAUGUAUAAAGAAUACAAAAAGUAGAAAAUGCACCCA